GUGAGGAAUAUUGGUCAAUGGGCGGGAGCCUGAACCAACCAAGUCGCGUGAAGGAAGAAGGAUCUAUGGUUCGUAAACUUCUUUUGCAGGGGAAUAAAGUGCAGGACGUGUCCUGUUUUGUAUGUACCCUGAGAAUAAGGAUCGGCUAACUCCGUGCCAGCAGCCGCGGUAAUACGGAGGAUCCGAGCGUUAUCCGGAUUUAUUGGGUUUAAAGGGUGCGCAGGCGGGUUGAUAAGUCAGCGGUGAAAGUUUGCAGCUUAACUGUAAAAUUGCCGUUGAAACUGUCGGACUUGAGUGUAAAUGAGGUAGGCGGAAUGCGUGGUGUAGCGGUGAAAUGCAUAGAUAUCACGCAGAACUCCGAUUGCGAAGGCAGCUUACUAAGCUACAACUGACACUGAAGCACGAAAGCGUGGGGAUCAAACAGGAUUAGAUACCCUUGUAGUCC
RNAcentral lists this ribosomal RNA (445 nucleotides) under uncultured bacterium. RNAcentral describes it as "partial 16S ribosomal RNA". It matches the Rfam family "Bacterial small subunit ribosomal RNA", at positions 354 to 796 of the family's 1533-position model. The record is from RNAcentral.